AUGGUGACCUUUCGUUUGAUUCAAGAGUCACUGCCAUCAAAUCACUCUCAGCCAUCGCCCACACUCCCGCAGGGACACUCGAUACUGUUUUCUGCAGGUAUCGGAAAUGUUUACAAGAUUCAUUCGUUCAGAACAAUAAAUGUUAUUGCAUUUAAUAAUUCUAUUAUAGUGGAGUGGAAAGUACUUAAGCUCCGGUUCCUGCCCUCCAGGUGGCUUGGGGGAGAGAAGCAAGUCUCUGUAAGAGACAGAUAGCAGUGAAUGCUCACGUGCUAACAGGAGGUGCCGAAGGAAAGUGAAAAUUACGUUGCACUGAGUGUGUGCGUCUUCCUCAGAGGUUUUAUUCCAUGGAUGGCAAGGUUUUUCUUUAAAUUCAGGAAAUGUCUCUCUCCAUAAAAUGCCCAUUUACUUCGCAUAGUCACUUAGAAUAUAGAGGAUCUUAACCUGCUUACAAUAAGAAAUUGAGGCCUAGGAGAUUGAUUUUUUCUUUUUCUUUUUUUUUUUUAAGAUUUUAUUUAUUUUUUUUUGUGAGGGAGAGAGAAGAGCAACAGAGUGAGCACAAGUAGGGGGAAGGAGCAAAGGGAGCAAAUUCCCUGCUGAGCAUGGAGCCCAAUGCUAGACUGGAUCCCAGGACCCUGGGAUCAUGACCUGAGCCAAAGUCAGACACUUACGACUGAGCCGCCCAGGCGCCCGAUUUUUUUCAAGACCUCGGACUGGAACUCAAGGUUUUUUUAAAAAAGAUUUUAUUUAUUUAUUUGAGCGAGAGAGCAGAAGUGGGGGGGAGCGGCAAAGGGGGAGGGUGAAACAGCCUGCCCACUGAGCAGGGAGCCCGAUGCGGGGCUGGACUUGGGGCUCGAUCCCAGAACCCUGAGAUCAUGACCUAAGCUGAGGGCAGAUGGUUAACCAGCUGAGCCACCCAGAAGCCUUAGAACUCAUGAUUUUAAAAAAUGCCUAAUCCAUAGCAAGAUGUGGGAAGUGGAAACCAGUGCUUUUAAAUGUCUUUUUCAUGAUGAAAUGUAAAUAAUUCAGUAGACAGCCAGUUGAGAGGAUGAAGAAAUAUUUUCCUAACUACGGCUUUCGAUUUUCCUAUCUGCUAUUUACUGCAGAUAGGUAACUACGGCUGGGCACUCAGAAAUCCCCCUUACUGCUGACACUACUGUCUCAAAGGAGUGGAGGUGAGGAGUUGGUAGGGAUUCAUGGGACCACCUAGCCCCUCCCCUGGCAAGAUGACUAGAUGGGAGAAGAGAAAGGCUGAAAAACUCACUUGCCCGGAAAUAGUUUGCUGGAGGAUUUAACUUAGUACGUGACCAGUGAAAGGUAGACAAAUGAACACAUGAAUGCAGGUGUUCCACCUGAGUCCAAGAUCCCCCCAAAUUUGGGCCAAGGUAACAAUCUCUAGAUUCAGAACAAAAAACAGUCGACAAUUUUCAUAAAAAUACCAAGUCAUCUGCAGCAAAGCAUGUCCGGUAAAUGAGCAUUUAAUAGAUGAUGACUGUGAACCGGACCUGAUAACUCGUCUUUCUUCCAUUGUCCAGUACAGACAGGAAGGCUGCUUUUAUUUGAAAUAAAAAUACUCAUUAACAACUGCAGUGAAACCUUCAAUAUAGAAUCCCAAGAACGUUUUCAUUUCUCUAUUUCUACAAAGUAAGGAAAAGUGCUCAGGCGUUAUCUCCCCACUAAUCAAUAGAGGGGCCGGUAAACUGAAGCCUGCAGAAGUGAAGGGCCUUGUCUUUAUGAUGUCAAGAGCAGAGGGGGAGGCGAAUCCAGAUCUAAUAAAACCUAAGUCAGUUUUCAGUUCAUUCAGUUGCUUCAUGCUAUGAAAAUAAGGCACACCUAUUGUCGUUUUCUUUGUUUAAUCUUUGCUUGUAGAUUGCAGAGGACAAGACUGAUGACUGUUAACUGUUGCCCAGAUGUUUCUAAACAGGAAGUUCUGGCUGUCCAGCCUGUCGAGCAGGUGUCUUUUAUGGUGGUGAGGAUACUGUUGCAGUUCAGACUGGGACACACGAGCAGGUGGUUUCCAGAAGGAGCCAAGCCUACUUAGAUUGGGUGAUCACAGAGUCUCAGAGCUGAAAGCAAGCUUAGAAACCUUUAUCCAGCCCUAGACAAACAGCUUGAGGGAUGUCAAAAGACCAGGCCCAGGUCAACUCUUGGCAGAGCCCUGAUGAGAAACGAGGGAUGCAUAAUUUUAAAAUGGUUUUAUGUGUCAAUGUAAGAGUUAUAUAACAAGGUAUGAAUUACAUAACAUUUUGAGCCAAAUUAGAAUAUUAAUUCCAGUUUGUUACGAUAAAAUGAAGGGAAAAGAAAUCAACUUCUGUUAAAUAAGGAGUUUGGAUGAUCAAAGAAGAAAGAGGUUUAACAAGAAAGCCAAGGGUGGCUCAGUCGGUUAAGUGUCAGCCUUUGGCUUCGGUCAUGAUCCCAGCGUCCUGGGAUGGAGCCCCAUGUCCAGCUCCAGCGGGGAGCCUGCUUCUCCCUCUCCCUCUGCCUGCUGCUCCCCCUGCUUGUGCUCUCUCUCUGUGAAGUAAAUGAAAUCUUAAAGAAAAAAAAAAUCAGGAAAGCCAGUAAUCAUCAAAAUAUUGAGAACUUCCUACUGUAAUAAACACCUUCUAUGUUCAGAUGGAAACAUUACUUUGAGUUUGGGCUAAGAAAACAGACGUGUUAGAAGGAAGUGAGAUGUUAAGCAGUUCAGGAUGGCAGCCUAGCUGCUGACUGAUGAACAACCCCCUGUGCUGUUUACCUUCUUCUUCUCUAUCUUGGAGACCCUAACCCUGAGAAAAAUGAAUUUCUCUAUGUUGCUGCUUAAGACCCUUGAAGUUUGAUUUGAAUUCAUUUCUUUUUUUUUUUUUUUUUAAGAUUUUAUUUAUUUAUUUGACAGAGAGCCAGCCAGUGAGAGAGGGAACACAGCAGGGGAGUGGGAGAGGAAGAAGCAGGCUCCUAGCGGAGGAGCCCGAUGUGGGGCUCGAUCCCAGAACGCCGGGAUCACGCCCUGAGCCAAAGGCAGACGCUUAACGACUGCACUGCCCGGGUGCCCCUGAAUUCAUUUCUAA
Molecule: long non-coding RNA, 3041 nt
Filed under: Ursus thibetanus thibetanus
Lineage: Eukaryota; Metazoa; Chordata; Mammalia; Carnivora; Ursidae
Description: lncRNA (ENSUTTG00000015619.1)
Source: RNAcentral